Molecule: long non-coding RNA, 234 nt
Filed under: Lathyrus oleraceus (garden pea)
Lineage: Eukaryota; Viridiplantae; Streptophyta; Magnoliopsida; Fabales; Fabaceae
Description: Pisum sativum (pea) long non-coding RNA (PSAT_LNC038264)
Source: RNAcentral
UUUUUUAUAUAUUUUUUUUUCAAUGCGUUUCUUUUGAAAAAUAAAUAUGCUAUGAUGCACAUGAUGCAGACAUGGCUGGCUGGUUGUGCAAUCUCUGAUCACUAGGUCGAAGCUUCAGUCAAAAUUGGAACAUAAAUCCCACUUAAGGUUAACUGAACACUGUCUGAACACAAAGUCACCAUCAGAAUCAAGUCACCAACAGAACCGAGUCACCAACGGUACCUGUAAUAAUGA